GACGAACGCUGGCGGCGUGCUUAACACAUGCAAGUCGAACGGAAAGGCCCUGCUUGCAGGGUACUCGAGUGGCGAACGGGUGAGUAACACGUGGGUGAUCUGCCCUGCACUUCGGGAUAAGCCUGGGAAACUGGGUCUAAUACCGGAUAGGAGCCAUUUUUAGCGUGAUGGUUGGAAAGUUUUUUCGGUGUAGGAUGAGCUCGCGGCCUAUCAGCUUGUUGGUGGGGUAAUGGCGUACCAAGGCGGCGGGGGGUAGCCGGCCUGAGAGGGUGGACGGCCACAUUGGGACUUAGGUACGGCCCAGACUCCGACGGGAGGCAGCAGUGGGGAAUAUUGCACGAGGGGCGCAAGCCUGAUGCAGCGACGCCGCGUGGGGGAUGACGGCCUUCGGGUUGUAAACUCAUUUCGCUAGGGACGAAGCUUUUUGUGACGGUACCUAGAUAAGAAGCACCGGCUAACUACGUG
RNAcentral lists this ribosomal RNA (465 nucleotides) under uncultured bacterium. RNAcentral describes it as "partial 16S ribosomal RNA". It matches the Rfam family "Bacterial small subunit ribosomal RNA", at positions 28 to 507 of the family's 1533-position model. The record is from RNAcentral.